RNAcentral lists this ribosomal RNA (254 nucleotides) under uncultured bacterium. Its description in RNAcentral is "partial 16S ribosomal RNA". It matches the Rfam family "Bacterial small subunit ribosomal RNA", at positions 524 to 776 of the family's 1533-position model. The record is from RNAcentral.
UACGUAGGGGGCUAGCGUUGUCCGGAAUCAUUGGGCGUAAAGCGCGUGUAGGCGGUCCGGUAAGUCCGCUGUGAAAGUCGAGGGCUCAACCCUCGAAUGCCGGUGGAUACUGUCGGGCUUGAGUACGGGAGAGGCGAGUGGAAUUCCUGGUGUAGCGGUGAAAUGCGCAGAUAUCAGGAGGAACACCGAUUGCGAAGGCAGCUCGCUGGAACGUUACUGACGCUGAGACGCGAAAGCGUGGGGGAGCAAACAGG